This 516-nucleotide ribosomal RNA is filed under the name uncultured Planctomycetota bacterium. RNAcentral's name for it is "bacterial SSU rRNA". It matches the Rfam family "Bacterial small subunit ribosomal RNA", at positions 117 to 643 of the family's 1533-position model. Lineage: Bacteria; Pseudomonadati; Planctomycetota. The record is from RNAcentral.
GUAGAAAUCUACCCUCGGGACGGGGAUAGCGGCGGGAAACUGCCAGUAAUACCCGAUAACGUCUUUGGACCAAAGGUGUGAUUCCGCCUGAGGAUGAGUCUACUUCCUAUUAGCUAGUUGGUGGGGUAAUGGCCUACCAAGGCAACGAUGGGUAGCAGGUGUGAGAGCACGACCUGCCUCAUUGGGACUGAGACACUGCCCAGACACCUACGGGUGGCUGCAGUCGAGAAUCUUCGGCAAUGGACGAAAGUCUGACCGAGCGACGCCGCGUGCGGGAUGAAGGCCUUCGGGUUGUAAACCGCUGUCGUAGGGGAACAAGUUUACGGGGGUUAUCCCCUGUAAUUGAGUGAUCCUAGGAGGAAGGGGAGGCUAAGCUCGUGCCAGCAGCCGCGGUAAGACGAGCUCCCCAAACGUUAUUCGGUAUCACUGGGCUUAAAGAGUUCGUAGGCGGUCUGGUAGGUGAGGUGUGAAAUCCCCCGGCUCAACCGGGGAACUGCGCUUCAAACCACUAGACUU